This 395-nucleotide ribosomal RNA is filed under the name uncultured bacterium. Its description in RNAcentral is "bacterial SSU rRNA". It matches the Rfam family "Bacterial small subunit ribosomal RNA", at positions 362 to 774 of the family's 1533-position model. The record is from RNAcentral.
UAUUGGACAAUGGGGGCAACCCUGAUCCAGCCAUGCCGCGUGAGUGAUGACGGCCUUAGGGUUGUAAAGCUCUUUUCUCCGGGACGAUAAUGACGGUACCGGAGGAAUAAGCCCCGGCUAACUUCGUGCCAGCAGCCGCGGUAAUACGAAGGGGGCUAGCGUUGCUCGGAAUCACUGGGCGUAAAGGGCGCGUAGGCGGCUGAUUUAGUCGAGGGUGAAAGCCCGUGGCUCAACCACGGAAUGGCCUUCGAUACUGAUUGGCUUGAGACCGGAAGAGGACAGCGGAACUGCGAGUGUAGAGGCGAAAUUCGUAGAUAUUCGCAAGAACACCAGUGGCGAAGGCGGCUGUCUGGUCCGGUUCUGACGCUGAGGCGCGAAAGCGUGGGGAGCAAACA